GUCCCGCGGCGCCGGAAACUGGGCGCACACACCCUCGGAUUGACGUGCGCACGCGCACCGGUUACCUUCAGGAGCGCCGAAGAAGGAAAGAAGAACACAGAGCCCGAGGCAAAGCUUAAGUGCUUACGCUUUUGUCGGGAGGUACAGACCCAGCUCUGCGAGAGCCAGGGGAAAAGGAAGAGAGGCAGGGAAGGAAUGGCAGCAAGUACAAGGUGAUGAAUGACUGCACUGGCCAUUGCUUCAUGAAGAGCCACGAAAAAACAGAGCCGGUUUCUCAGCAGGUGGCUGGCUGCUCAGUCACAAAGGACCUCUUUGGACAGGCUUUAUGGAAAUACUGUGCCUAGGACAGUCGCUCAAAGGCAGGAGGGAGAGAAAAUGCAUCUGCAAGCUCACUUUGUCUUCUUUCUUCUGCUGGUCAAAAUUUGCUGGCUGGGGCAGUUAACGCCCUCACACAUCCGAGUUGUGUCACCUGGCCCCUUUGGUAGCCACUGGGGAAGCCAGAUCUAGGCAUGUGGCCUGAUGGCUCCUGCGGUGGAACCACAUGCUCACACUCAGUCAGUCACCACUGGGAUGCCCUGGGCAGGGCAGGCUGAGUGGCUGGGAGAUAGCUGAGCCUAAGAUAUCUAAGCAAGCACCUGUGAUGUAUGCACUGCAGUGUCCAAAUGUGAAAAAGCAAGAAAGGGAGAUAGAAGCAUAUUUUUUUCUGGAGAGAAGGAGGAAACCACCAGGAGAAUACAAACAGAAAAAAGACAUGCUCAUCAUGCCCUGCAAACUCCUAUGAACUGGAACUACAGCAGCUGUUCUGCCAGGGACAGGUUCUUCUCUAAAGUUCCAGCUCUCUGGAGGGAGAAAGCCCUGACUUUGGAUGGAGUUGAGCUCUGUCGCCCAGGCUGGAGUGCAGUGGCACCAUCUCAGCUGACUGUGACCUCCGCCUCCUGGGUUCAAGUGAUUCUCCUGCAUCAGCCUCCCGAGUAGCUGGGACUACAGGUGCACACCACCAUGCCCGGCUAAUUUUUGUAUUUUUAGUAGAGACGGGGUUUUGCCAUGAUGGCCAGGUUUGGUCUCAAACUCCUAACCUCAAGUGAUCCACCCUCCUCAGCCUCCCAAAGUGCUGGGAUUACAGGCGUGAGCCACUGCGCCCCGCCUACUUGAAUUUUUUUUUUUUUUUUUUUUUUUGAGACAGAGUUUUGCUCCUGUUGCCCAGGCUGGAGUGCAACGGCAUGAUCUCGACUCACUGCAACCUCUGCCUCCUGGGUUCAAGUGAUUCUCCUGCCUCAGCCUCCCAAAUAGCUGGGAUUACAGGUGCCCACCACUGUGCCUGGCUGAUUGUAUUUUUAGUAGAGAUGGGGUUUCAUCAUGUUGGUCAGGCUGGUCUUGAACUCCAGACCUCAGGUGAUCGGACUGCCUCGGCCUCCCAAAGUGCUGGGAUUACAGGCAUGACCCACUGUGCCCGGACCUGCUUGAAUUUUUAUGAUGAGCAUGUUGGCAGAUCACGACUGCCAGCUCCGUGACAGCAAGAACCUUGUAUGACUUUUUCAUGAUGGAUGUUCAUCUGUGCCAUCUGUAAAUAUUGAAUAAAUAUUUGUGGAAUACAUGAAUCUAAAAGUGAAUGGAAUGAUAAAGAGGGAAAGGGUCAUGACAUCUACUACAGCAUUUGGCACAGACCCAGGUUUCCCUGGUACUGGUAAUUCCCAGCAGCUUUCUACAAUUCCAAAGCUGUCUGCAGUACUAUCAAGAGAUGACAUGGACUUCAAGGAUCAAACAGGGGAGAAAAAGGCUUAAAAGAAAAACAAGUCUCCAUCAAAGGUAAUAACCACAAUGAGAACUAUACAUAGCUAUGUGCUUAUAGGUCUUAGUUCACAUUCCCCUCAUUAAAAUUAUAGCUCAAGAAAUAAAGGGCUGUUUAAUGACUUGGGUAUAUAAAUAUACUUCAUUUGUAUAUUUUUUACUUGCUAAAAUCUAUCCAAAUUGGUAUUACCUCAAACCAUAAUCUUCUACUGUAUUUUAUAAUUUUACUUUAUUGCCAUGUAUUUUUCCCACUGAUGUUCACAAAUUCACAGGAAACAUCAGCCAUGUACUAAAUAAAAUAUGAAUUGAAUCGACAAAUAGAACUAUAAAUUUAAUUCAAGCACAUGUAAAAUUUAGACCAAAGAAUAAAAAUGUCUAUUAAAAAUACAGCCAAGCAUGGUGGCUCACACCUGUAAUCCCAGCACUUUGGGAGGCCGAGGUGGGUGAAUCAUCUGAGGUCAAGAGUUUGAGACCAGCUGGCCAUUGUGGUGAAACCCCAUCUCUACUAAAAUACAAAAAUUAGCUGGGUGUGAUGGUGGGCACCUGUAAUCCCACUACUUGGGAGGCUGAGGCAGGAGAAUCGCUUGAACCCAGGA
Molecule: long non-coding RNA, 2384 nt
Filed under: Homo sapiens (human)
Lineage: Eukaryota; Metazoa; Chordata; Mammalia; Primates; Hominidae
Description: HSALNT0042981
Source: RNAcentral